GCAACCGUUUGUUUCUAUGGUAAGAGUGGGUAAGAGCAGAGAGCACAUUUUGUGCACAUAGAGGCGCUGAUGGAUGGAAACACCUAUGCCUAGGACCGGUUGGUUGUUCCAAAACUUCUUUGUAAAUUUACCUACCAGGUAAGUUUACCAAGAAGUUGGAACAACCGACCCCUAAAACGACGGGAUGACUCUUAGGGUUUCUCUCUGGUAUUUCACAAAGUACGAACUUGACAAUCGAAGAUGAGAUCAGAUCAUUAGGUGAUGAUAUCCCGAAUUUAUUGCCAAUGUGUAAUAAGGGUAAUUUCGAGACGAGUCAUGUGACUGAGAUGGUUUAAUUCUCGCAGUUGUUGCAAUACAAAACUGAACUCGAUGUGGCUGAAUGGUUGAUGAUGAUAACUGGAACGCAGAACGAUACUCUGCAAGGACUUGGUUCUAAAAUCGCAUUUGCUUUGCAAAAGGGUGACUUCGAGUGCUGCAAGUUUCUAUAGAUUUUCGCUUGAACUUGACCCAAAUUUUGAGCCUGCUAUUACAAGGUUGCGAGUAAUACUAUGUUUUUUAUUAUUUGAUGAUAAAAAAUUCGCAAUGAGUGAGAUAUUGCGAAAUAUUUUAUAAUACGACUUUUUACAAACUGUUAAUGUGAAAUAAUUUGAUGACAGUGCCUUUUUAUGUUAAUACAUAAUAUUUAAAAAAUGUACGUAAGUAUUAAAAACAAGGAAGAAACAAUUAUGUAGCAACAUGACGCUACGUUAUUAUGUGUAUUACAAAAAAUUUUAAAUGAAGGGAAAAAAUAGUAAUGACAGAUAUUUAAUUGUUAAAUUAUUACAGAAUUUUAUGGACUGAUAAGAUACUUAUAUUUUCACAUCAAAUUUUUAAGUUUAAUAUUUCAGGAUACAAAACAAAUGAAAAAUGAGCACUUUUAGAUGUAUUGUUUAUCUGUUAUUGUAGAUAUUGUUUAUCUCAUAUGAAUGUGAUAACUUCUUGUGAUCAUGAAGCAAUAUAUUAUUAAAAUGUAAAAACCAUUAAAUAAAAAAUAAAUUUUGCAAUGAUUUGA
Monomorium pharaonis (pharaoh ant) is the source of this 1051-nucleotide long non-coding RNA. RefSeq lists it as uncharacterized. NCBI's taxonomy places the organism in Eukaryota, Metazoa, Arthropoda, Insecta, Hymenoptera, Formicidae. The record is from RefSeq and is a predicted model, not a curated record. The transcript is spliced from 4 exons.